CAGGAGCUUCCGCUCUCAUCACUGUACACAUGAAGCACAAUAUGGCACCUGCCAGCCGGACUGUUGUUGUGCUAGUGCUUUCCCUUCUUUACUUGUGUCGAGCAAUCUUUUCCACCGAAUAUUUCUCUACGCUUACUUUUUUCAAUAGUGAACUGCACAAACAUGGAUGCAGUUCGCCUUCGGAGUGGGAGGAAUACGCCGCCGACUGCGAAUCCUCCAUUUUGCAAUUGGAAGACCCAGACUGUGAAGAAGGGAGCAACCCUCCCUGUGAAUCGGUCUUCUCGCUCAAUGCAGAGAAGAUUCUGAGCCAGGCCAAGUUGUUCAUAGAACAGAAAAAAAUACCUUUCCCUGUGGAUAACCACAACACAAACGAAGAGCUUGCUAUAGGGUACGUGCUGAUCGGCAACGGCCUCUACGACGAAGCCAUCAAACACUUUUCCCUCUUGCUACAGGGAGAACCAGAGUUGGUCAGUGCCAUCUAUGGCAGAGGCAUAGCAUAUGGAAAGAAGAGUCUUCAGGACAUCAAGAAUGCUGACCUGGCCUUGUUCGAGCUCAGCCGGGUCGUCACGCUGGAGCCAAACUGGCCCGAGGUCUACGAGCAGAGAGCAGAGAUCCUAUCUCCGCUGGGCCGUAUCAGCGAGGCCCUGGGUGACCUGACCAAGGCCAUUCAGCUGCAGCCCUCAGCGCGCCUCUACAGACACAGGGGGACCCUGCUCUUCAUAUCAGAGGAUUACGUGGCCGCUAUGGAGGACUUCCAACAGUCUCUGGACCUGAAGAAGAACCAGCCCAUUGCCAUGCUGUACAAGGGCCUCACUUUCUUCCAUAGAGGCAUGCUAAAGGAAGCCAUAGAAACGUUCAAAGAGGCUCUGAAGCUCAAGUCUGACUUCAUAGAUGCCUAUAAGAGCCUGGGGCAGGCGUACAGAGAGCUUGGGGACUUUGAGGCGGCGAUGGAGAGCUUCCAGAAGGCCCUGAUGCUGAACCAGAACCACAUCCAGUCCCUGCAGCUGCGCGGUAUGAUGCUCUACCACCAUGGCUCGCUGCGGGAAGCCAUCGGCAACUUCAAGCGGUGCCUUCAGCUGGAGCCCUACAACGAGGUGUGCCAAUACAUGAAGGGCCUCAGUCAGGUGGCCAUGGGCCAGUUCUACGAGGGUAUCAAGGCCCAGACCAAGGUCAUGCUCAACGACCCCCUGCUGGGCCAGAAGGCCAGCUCUGAAUACCUCAAAGUGAAAUACCUCAGAGAGUAUUCUCGUUACCUGCACUCCCACCUGGACGUCUCGGUGGCCGAGUACAACGUGGACCAGGACCUCCCGGGGAACUUCAAGAACCACUGGGCCAAGAACCUGCCCUUCCUCAUCGAGGAUUAUGAGGAGCAGCCGGGCCUGCAGCCGCACAUCAAGGACGUCCUACCUCAACACUUUGAAAGCUACAGCAACGAGGUGCAGAAGCUCAUCUGCACCGCGGACCACCUCGGGGCGCUCAUGCAGUACAACACGCCGGGCUUCCUGCCCAACCGGAGAAUACACAGAGCCAUGGGCCUAGCGACCCUGGAGGUGAUGCAGGCCAUGCACCGAACGUGGAGCAACUCCAAGGUCCGGGUGAACGGCAAGACGCGGCAGAUGCAGUGGCGGGACAUGUUCGACAUAGCCGUCAAGUGGAGGAGGAUUGCAGAUCCAGACCAGCCAGUUCUGUGGCUAGACCAGAUGCCAGCCAGGAGUCUCAGUCGAGGCUUUAAUAAUCACAUCAACCUCAUAAGAGGACAGAUCAUAAACAUCAGGUAUCUAGCCUACUUUGACAACAUCCUUGACUUCAUUAAGGAUCGGAUACUAGUGUACCACGGAGCCUACAAUCCCAGGGGGCUGGUAGAGGUCCGACAAGCUCUGGAGACCGUGAACAAAGUGGAGGACCUGCUUCCUAUAAUGAAGCAGUUCAAUAGUAAAACCAGAGAUGGAUUUACGGUCAACUCCAAAGUACCCAGCAUGAAGGAUCCGGGGAAAGAGUAUGACGGCUUCACCAUCACCAUCACGGGAGACAGGGUGGGCAACAUGCUGUUCUCGGUGGAGACCCAGACCACGGAGCAGCGGACUCAACAGUACCAGUCGGAGAUCGAGUCCAUCUACAAGGACCUCACGGCCAAGGGGAAAACCCUCAUGCUGUCCACCGAACUCGGUGACGCAGACGCAGUGUGCAACCUGAUACUGUCCCUAGUGUACUACUUCUGUAACCUCAUGCCGCUGUCCCGCGGAUCCAGCGUGGUGGCCUACUCCGUGGUGAUGGGGGCGCUGAUGGCCAGCGGGAAAGAGGUGGUCGGGAGGAUCCCCAAAGGAAAGCUGGUGGAUUUCGAGGCCAUGACCACCCCCAGUCCGGACGGCUUCAGCAAAACAGCCAAGAGCUGGAUGAAUCUUAAAAGCUUGCCAAGCUGGUACCAGAGUCUUCCGUCGGUAGCGGAGACUUUCCCGUCCAGUAGGACGAUGAUAGAGGUGCUGAACACGGACGCCACAACGCACUGUCCCAAGAAGUCCUAGCCCGGGUUCAGGACUCCACUCUCUCCCUCUCUUUCCCUCCCUCUGUCCAUCUCCGAGAAGAACAACCACCUGCAGCUCUGGUGCAGAACACACAAGGGGAGGGGGAGGGAGGGAGGGAGGGAGGGAGGGAGGGUGUCAUUUGGUGCUUCCUAGGCCGUGCCUGGGACUUCAGGAGACAAAUACUUGUUCAUGUCGGGGUUGUAAUCCACCGCUUACACAGGCGUGCACACACUCACAUACACACAGACAAACACACACACACACACACACACACACCACUUCGCCAAAAGUUACAAUACAGGAUGAAAGUUUUCCUUAUGCAGUUCAAUCGUGUGUUUGGCUGUUAAGGGGCAUGCAAGAGUUGAAACAUCAUCGGUGCAUUUUUAUUUUAUUUAUUUCUCUCUCUCUGUUCCUUUUGGGGGCCCAGACACACGAUGCAGUAGGCAGCCCUCCAUACUUUACUGUUCCACACUCCAACCUAGAGCACAAUGGCAAGGGGGUUAUGGCAAACAAAACUCUUUUGUCCCUUUGGGAUGUAGUGGGCAGGCUUAACCCUCAAGCCCUUCUGUCUCUCUCUCUGUCGCUCUCUCGCUGUCUCUCUGUCUCUGUCUCUCUCUCUGUCCCUCUGUGUCUGUUUUCAUCCAGACGCACACAACUCUGUUAAACAUGACGUAUGACUUCACAAGCCAACCCUCUUAAGUUGCAUGGCCAAGACUGACAUUGAAACUUUUUGGAAUAUGCUAAAAUACUAUUUAACGUCCGCUAUGGAACAAUUUCUCUGCAGCCGUGGCUAUAAUUUAAUUGAGGGUCAUUCAAUCAUCAGUCUCUCUUAACACAAUUAUUGGUCUGGAAAAACAACACCUCUACCUCACUUGUGUCCUGCGUGAUGCCAAAAGCGAGGGCUGUAGUGAAAUUGUGCAGUUGUUGCAGGUUAAGGUUAAAAACCUCCUUAAGUUGGACUCAUUAAAUUUAAGCUUAUUUGUAUGCAUCACCAUCACAGUGUAGGCCAAUGCUUUUUUGGGAUCCGUUUCGAAUUUGUAUGAUUGAUCUUUGUUUUUAUCUUCAUAAAUACUUAAGGCCUUACUUAAUACUUAAGGGCCCCCAGACCAGAAAUGUAGUGUGCAUGCACUGCAUGCACACUACAUUUCUUCCAGUUGGACAAUUGAAAGAAAUGGCAGAUGGAGAUUUAAACUACAAAGAGAGAGAGAUCUGUCUAUAUAAAUAUAUCCGAAAUACAACAUUGGGGUUUCUGUCUUGGCAUACUUGAAUUUCUUUUUAUUUUAUUGUAUUUAUAUAUUUUAAGUUUUUAUUUGGUUUCUGGGGGAAGUGUGAGUGGCGGUGUAUAAGUUCCCAAUGGACAUCAAGCCAAUCAACCAAAGUCACAUAAAUGCUACUGACCUCCCAAGAAUAUUUUAGUAUUUGAAAUGCAUUUCAGCAUAUUUUAAUAGGGCCAUGUGCAAAAGCUUUAUACAAAUGAAAACAUUUUCAAAUGUUUUUUUGUAUUUGUAUUAUAUCUUGGACAUGGCAAAAGAAUUGUCACCCUCCCAUUUGGCAUGAAUGUCCCCUGUGGCUUCAUCCAUUCCAGAAACCAGUUAAGAAAAAUGCAAAUUGAAAUUUUUUGUAGUUAAGCGAUGCGAUUAAGUACUCCAGGAUAUGUGAUAUUUCCGGCCAAUAGAAAUUUAGUAAACUAUUUGCUUGGAAGCAGAUGAACAUUAAAAUUGUGGUAACAAACAUUUUCAGAGCUUGAAAUUUGGGCCAAAAAAGGGUUUGGAACCACUGACUUAAAUGGUGGCUUUGUUUUAUUAAUUGGCAUAUAAAAGGCUUGGGACAGUUGCUGCCUCUCUUGAUAUCUUCCACUGAUGACCCAGAAUAAUUCCACUUUUUUUUUUAUUGCUUUUCUUUGUGUUACUUGACCUGAAAAUUUAGCCCAAUAUCAAACAUGUUUUUUGGAAACAUGGAGCCAAUAGAGAGCAAAAGUUCUUGACCUAACCAGCACAAUUAUACACGUAAUUAGCCAUGCGCCUAAAUCUCUGAAGGUGGCUAUAUGAUUGGUCUACUUUGCUAUUAUUAUUUUAUUUUUAAUUUGACCCCCCCUGACCCCCCACAAAGUACUCCUGUUAUUUCCCCCAUUAUUCAACUGUUUGAUAUUUAUUCGGUCGGUUGGGGAGUUUCUCUGUCUCAGUUAUUGUCCUCGUGCUCAAAAGGAGGAAUUUGUUUAAGCUUUCGAACAUCGGGAGGACUGAAGUUAUAAAUGCAAAAAGCGGUGGAUGGAGGUGUACAACAGCCAAUAAAAUCGGUUUGACAAAAUG
Molecule: RNA transcript, 4831 nt
Organism: Gadus macrocephalus (Pacific cod)
Lineage: Eukaryota; Metazoa; Chordata; Actinopteri; Gadiformes; Gadidae
Gene: ttc13
Gene name: tetratricopeptide repeat domain 13
Exons: 24
Source: RefSeq, a predicted model, not a curated record